Molecule: long non-coding RNA, 575 nt
Organism: Manacus vitellinus (golden-collared manakin)
Lineage: Eukaryota; Metazoa; Chordata; Aves; Passeriformes; Pipridae
Exons: 3
Source: RefSeq, a predicted model, not a curated record
CUCAAUGAAAAACAAUAGCAGGUACUCAAAUAAGUAAGACCCGCGUGAGAGUUCACAAGCCCAGCUUGUGUAGAAGGCCACCUGCCAACAGGAAGAAGUGGAGAAGGGCUUGAGAGACUUCUGAGCACAAGUUCACAGAGAGCUGAUCUCCUGUUUCCCAUCACAGCUGUAUCAAAGGGAUUGAGACAGGAAGAAUAAGAGGGAAAGAAGAAGAAAUGACAAAGUACCUUGCCGUAGAGCUGAGUCGAGCUGCUAAAUUCAUCACAGAGCUGCAAACAGCGUGUCUCCCUGGGAUAAAAUGAACCGACAAACUGCCCUACAGAUCAGCCAGUUAAACACAUUGAAACGCCACUGCCACCGGCGGACACGGAUGGCUGGAGAGCUCGGGAGAGAGCAUCACGGUCGCUCGACGCUCCUCCGGCGCGGCCACUUCCUUGGCGUCCGGGAAUCGCACCUUACGGCUACACGUCGGCGCCGGAUUCACCGCCUUGCAGACGAGGAACCCCCCUCUCCUUCCUCCCCGCCUCAGCCCCCGGUGAACACCCAGUAUCUGGGUACUACCUGCGUUUAUCAGC